UAAAAAUUAUUUUAAAGAAAAUACCUAAUUGUCUAUUAGGAGAUAAUAUUACAAUUAUUUUUUUUAA
This 67-nucleotide transfer RNA is filed under the name Obama sp. MAP-2014. RNAcentral describes it as "tRNA-Asp". The record is from RNAcentral. Lineage: Eukaryota; Metazoa; Platyhelminthes; Tricladida; Geoplanidae.